Molecule: non-coding RNA, 1083 nt
Organism: Meleagris gallopavo (turkey)
Lineage: Eukaryota; Metazoa; Chordata; Aves; Galliformes; Phasianidae
Source: RefSeq, a predicted model, not a curated record
UGGGGCUGUGCUCAGGGCUCUAGCAGAAAGGCCCAUAAUGGGCUAAGUGUUCCCACCUGGCAUACAGUUCUGCCCUUGUGGAACAUACUUGGCCAGGCAGAGAGGUCAGAGUUAAGUGAGAGAUCACCUUUUCUCACAGUCCGGGAGGAAAUAGGAAAGGUUGAAGUGUAUUCUUUUAUUUGCUGAACACUCAGGAGUUUAAUGGUGAAAACGAGGCAAGUGGAGUUGUUGUGCAACUGACCACAUCUGUUGGGUUGCAGAACUGCGUUGUUUGAAAACCAGCUCACAGUAUAUAAGCAUUUCUUUAAAGACAAAGUGCCAGCAAAUCAGCAGAUAAUGUGGCUAGAGGUGCCUCUGAAUGAGAACACUGCUACUCCUCCCCUCACAUCUGUUAAAUGCUCCACCUCUUGUUAUGGUCAAGGAGCUUAUAUCAGAGGAGGAUCUGUAGUCAUUAAUGGACUAACAUGGAACUUCUAAAUACAUUUUUUGAACUAUUUCCAGAAUGUGCUCAGUUCAGAAUCCCUGUCUGGCAAGCGGUAAUAGAAAGUAUUCAGCCUGAAAAUUAAUCUCUGGAUUUCCAGGUUUGGUGCUGAAAUCCUGACUCCUAAACUAUGAAGCACUGUACUCUCUGUUUCCACUGACAUCACUUGCCAGCACUGAGUCUGACUUGAUGCUAGCAUACUUCCUUCGCCGUGCUUGGUUUUUAGGUGUGUGACUUGAGAUGGGUGUACAAUUUUUUUUUUUGUUCAGUUUUAAAGAAGUAACUUUGCAACAAUUGGGAUUUUUUUGUUUGUUUAUAUCUCUUUGUUGUGGAGGAGCUGUAAAAUGAAAUGUCAAUGAUCAAAAUUAAAUGCUGUUUGGUAUUUACUUGUAUUUCUUUGUGAUGAGUCUUUCUGGGAAAUUAAAAUCAUGUUCUUCAUUGUUGUUGCUAUGUGUGUGCUGUAAGUUGUGAUCUCUGUACUUUGUCUGCAACUGUGGUAGUCUGAUACUGUAUUUUUUUUUUCUCAGUGCUGCAGAAGUUGCAGGGCCAAGAACUUGACUAUUAUUAGCUCUAGAUUUGCUGAGAUGGGAAUGGCAUCUAGU